CUGGCACGGGCAUCAUGGUUGCCCCAGGAGUGCACGGCAGGCUCUUGGCCCUCACUGCCCGAACCGGGUGUCGCUGUGGUAGUGAUGGCCUGGAGCUCCUGGCCCAGGGAGGCCAGCUCCCCCAUGGACGAUGGCCUUCGGAGGGGCCUGGCCAGCCCAGCCAUGACAGGGCCCUCACUGUCCCCAAGGGAGAUGCUGCGUGACAUCUUGGCACGGGAGCUGGCAGUGGCCUCCAUGUAAGAACAGGUGGAGGGGACGUGGAUACCCUGAGGCAGGCCUGGGGUGGGUGCCGAUGUGGGUGUCGGAGGCUUCCUGUCUGUGGGCAGCACUGAAGAGGAAGGGACACAGGGUGGCAGUUCUGUCAGGCAGGGAGCUGUGAAGGAAGCAGACGGCUCUCACAGCCCAGCCGUGGAGCCGGUGCACAGGGCCCACCCAGCGGGCUGCAGGGUCUGAAGAGACACGCCACAGCUCAGCCGGGCACCCAGGGCUGUUCAUCUGCGACUGGGGGCACUUGCUCAGUGGGCACCAGGCCGCCAGGUCUCCUCAGCCUUCUCCCCAGAGAGGACCGGCAAGCACACUCUGAAGAGCAGCCGGAGCAGGGACAGGGAGACUUGCGCAGCUCAGUCCUUAAGAGAAAAGCCUAGAGAGAAGCCGUCAACAUUGUGAGUCAUGGCAGGCGCCACCUGACACUGG
This is a long non-coding RNA of Lemur catta (Ring-tailed lemur), 693 nucleotides long. RefSeq lists it as uncharacterized. NCBI's taxonomy places the organism in Eukaryota, Metazoa, Chordata, Mammalia, Primates, Lemuridae. The record is from RefSeq and is a predicted model, not a curated record. The transcript has 3 exons.